This 30-nucleotide transfer RNA is filed under the name Prodotiscus insignis. Its description in RNAcentral is "partial tRNA-Phe". The record is from RNAcentral. Lineage: Eukaryota; Metazoa; Chordata; Aves; Piciformes; Indicatoridae.
AAGACGGUUAUUAAUAUCUACCCGGGGACA